UAGCUGACAAGAGCUCCCAGAAGUGCUCUGUAAUCUUCAAGGCAGAACCAUAAACAUGAUUAGUCCUGGAGACUCCAGAGAAAAUCCGAAUGGCAAGACCUCAGACCCUGACUGCUCUUUAGUUAAGGCCUGUGGGCACUCAGAGGUCUGUUGAGGAUUCAAUGACUUCCUCAUGGCUGCCUGUGGAUGGUAAAGGAAGACACUACGUUUUACAUAGCAUGAUGGGUUUCAAUGUCUGCCUCGGGCAUCACUUCUGUGCUGGUCAUCCCUCAUCUCCAUCUCUACUCUUGCUCACACACUCACCUGCCAUGACUCAGCUAAAAUCCCUGCCUCUCCAGGAUGGGAGUCAUCACCCUGCUUUCUCUCAUCUCAGCCUGCCCCGCACCUGUUGUGGCCACGCCCUUCGUCUCAGCCCUUUCCGAGCAAUAAAGCAUCCUUUCCUUCCCAGGGUCUCACUGCUCUCUGCAGCUGGCUAGGUUUGCAGUGUUUAGCAUCAACACCGACUCCUGCCUCUCUUCUAGCCUUUCAUCCAAGUUUCUAAGCACCGUUGUAGUCUCAGGUACUUAGGAGCCAGAGGCAGGAGGAUUAUUUGAAUUCAGAAGUUUGAGAUUAACCUAGAUGAUGUACUGAGAGCCUAUCUCCAUUAAAAAAAAAAAGUGUGUGAA
Mus musculus (house mouse) is the source of this 665-nucleotide long non-coding RNA. RefSeq annotates it as predicted gene, 33588. NCBI's taxonomy places the organism in Eukaryota, Metazoa, Chordata, Mammalia, Rodentia, Muridae. The transcript is spliced from 2 exons. The record is from RefSeq and is a predicted model, not a curated record.